UGGGGAAUAUUGCACAAUGGGCGCAAGCCUGAUGCAGCCAUGCCGCGUGUAUGAAGAAGGCCUUCGGGUUGUAAAGUACUUUCAGCGGGGAGGAAGGGAGUAAAGUUACUACCUUUGCUCAUUGACGUUACCCGCAGAAGAAGCACCGGCUAACUCCGUGCCAGCAGCCGCGGUAAUACGGAGGGUGCAAGCGUUAAUCGGAAUUACUGGGCGUAAAGCGCACGCAGGCGGUUUGUUAAGUCAGAUGUGAAAUCCCCGGGCUCAACCUGGGAACUGCAUCUGAUACUGGCAAGCUUGAGUCUCGUAGAGGGGGGUAGAAUUCCAGGUGUAGCGGUGAAAUGCGUAGAGAUCAGGAGGAAUACCGGUGGCGAAGGCGGCCCCCUGGACGAAGACAGACGCUCAGGUGCGAAAGCGUGGGGAGCAAACAGG
This 429-nucleotide ribosomal RNA is filed under the name Chloroflexota bacterium. RNAcentral's name for it is "Chloroflexi bacterium partial 16S ribosomal RNA". It matches the Rfam family "Bacterial small subunit ribosomal RNA", at positions 355 to 776 of the family's 1533-position model. The record is from RNAcentral. Lineage: Bacteria; Bacillati; Chloroflexota.